Molecule: ribosomal RNA, 465 nt
Filed under: Vreelandella stevensii
Lineage: Bacteria; Pseudomonadati; Pseudomonadota; Gammaproteobacteria; Oceanospirillales; Halomonadaceae
Description: partial 16S ribosomal RNA
Rfam family: Bacterial small subunit ribosomal RNA
Source: RNAcentral
CCUACGGGGGGCAGCAGUGGGGAAUAUUGGACAAUGGGGGCAACCCUGAUCCAGCCAUGCCGCGUGUGUGAAGAAGGCCCUCGGGUUGUAAAGCACUUUCAGUGAGGAAGAACGCCUGGUGGUUAAUAUCCAUCAGGAAAGACAUCACUCACAGAAGAAGCACCGGCUAACUCCGUGCCAGCAGCCGCGGUAAUACGGAGGGUGCGAGCGUUAAUCGGAAUUACUGGGCGUAAAGCGCGCGUAGGUGGCUUGAUAAGCCGGUUGUGAAAGCCCCGGGCUCAACCUGGGAACGGCAUCCGGAACUGUCAAGCUAGAGUGCAGGAGAGGAAGGUGGAAUUCCCGGUGUAGCGGUGAAAUGCGUAGAGAUCGGGAGGAAUACCAGUGGCGAAGGCGGCCUUCUGGACUGACACUGACACUGAGGUGCGAAAGCGUGGGUAGCAAACAGGAUUAGAUACCCUUGUAGUC